ACGGGAGGCAGCAGUGGGGAAUAUUGCACAAUGGGGGAAGCCCUGAUGCAGCGACGCCGCGUGAGUGAAGAAGUUAUUCGUAAUGUAAAGCUCUAUCAGCAGGGAAGAAAAUGACGGUACCUGACUAAGAAGCCCCGGCUAACUACGUGCCAGCAGCCGCGGUAAUACGUAGGGGGCAAGCGUUAUCCGGAUUUACUGGGUGUAAAGGGAGCGUAGACGGUCAUGCAAGUCUGAUGUGAAAGGCAGGGGCUCAACUCCUGUACUGCAUUGGAAACUGCAAGUCUUGAGUGCCGGAGAGGUAAGCGGAAUUCCUAGUGUAGCGGUGAAAUGCGUAGAUAUUAGGAGGAACACCAGUGGCGAAGGCGGCUUGCUGGACUGUAACUGACGUUGAGGCUCGAAAGCGUGGGGAGCAAACAGGAUUAGAUACCCUGGUA
Molecule: ribosomal RNA, 434 nt
Filed under: uncultured Lachnospiraceae bacterium
Lineage: Bacteria; Bacillati; Bacillota; Clostridia; Lachnospirales; Lachnospiraceae
Description: partial 16S ribosomal RNA
Rfam family: Bacterial small subunit ribosomal RNA
Source: RNAcentral